UGAGGAAUAUUGGUCAAUGGACGAGAGUCUGAACCAGCCAAGUAGCGUGAAGGAUGACUGCCCUAUGGGUUGUAAACUUCUUUUAUAUGGGAAUAAAGUGAGCCACGUGUGGCUUUUUGUAUGUACCAUACGAAUAAGGAUCGGCUAACUCCGUGCCAGCAGCCGCGGUAAUACGGAGGAUCCGAGCGUUAUCCGGAUUUAUUGGGUUUAAAGGGAGCGUAGGCGGAUUAUUAAGUCAGUUGUGAAAGUUUGCGGCUCAACCGUAAAAUUGCAGUUGAUACUGGUAGUCUUGAGUGCAGCAGAGGUAGGCGGAAUUCGUGGUGUAGCGGUGAAAUGCUUAGAUAUCACGAAGAACUCCGAUUGCGAAGGCAGCUUACUGGACUGUAACUGACGCUGAUGCUCGAAAGUGUGGGUAUCAAACA
RNAcentral lists this ribosomal RNA (422 nucleotides) under uncultured prokaryote. RNAcentral describes it as "bacterial SSU rRNA". It matches the Rfam family "Bacterial small subunit ribosomal RNA", at positions 355 to 774 of the family's 1533-position model. The record is from RNAcentral.